UUCGGGCUGUCCAUCAGUGCAAAAAACUGGUGAAGAAAGAGCCGGGCAAGACCGGUGCCAGCCGCCGCGGUAAUACCGGCGGCUCGAGUGGUGGCCACUUUUAUUGGGCUUAAAGCGUCCGUAGCUUGGUUGUUAAGUCUUCUGGGAAAUCCAUCGGCUUAACCGAUGGGAGUUCAGGAGAUACUGGCAACCUAGGGACCGGGAGAGGUGAGAGGUACUCCAGGGGUAGGAGUGAAAUCCUGUAAUCCUUGGGGGACCACCUGUGGCGAAGGCGUCUCACUAGAACGGCUCCGACAGUGAGGGACGAAAGCUGGGGGAGCAAACCGGAUUAGAUACCCGGGUAGUCCCAGCUGUAAACGAUGCGCGUUAGGUGCAUCGGUGACCACGAGUCACCGAGGUGCCGAAGGGAAACCGUGAAACGUGCCGCCUGGGAAGUACGGUCGCAAGGCUGAAACUUAAAGGAAUUGGCGGGGGAGCAC
This 479-nucleotide ribosomal RNA is filed under the name uncultured archaeon. RNAcentral's name for it is "bacterial SSU rRNA". It matches the Rfam family "Archaeal small subunit ribosomal RNA", at positions 401 to 879 of the family's 1478-position model. The record is from RNAcentral.